Molecule: ribosomal RNA, 1552 nt
Filed under: Salmonella enterica subsp. enterica
Lineage: Bacteria; Pseudomonadati; Pseudomonadota; Gammaproteobacteria; Enterobacterales; Enterobacteriaceae
Description: bacterial SSU rRNA
Rfam family: Bacterial small subunit ribosomal RNA
Source: RNAcentral
AAAUUGAAGAGUUUGAUCAUGGCUCAGAUUGAACGCUGGCGGCAGGCCUAACACAUGCAAGUCGAACGGUAACAGGAAGCAGCUUGCUGCUUUGCUGACGAGUGGCGGACGGGUGAGUAAUGUCUGGGAAACUGCCUGAUGGAGGGGGAUAACUACUGGAAACGGUGGCUAAUACCGCAUAACGUCGCAAGACCAAAGAGGGGGACCUUCGGGCCUCUUGCCAUCAGAUGUGCCCAGAUGGGAUUAGCUUGUUGGUGAGGUAACGGCUCACCAAGGCGACGAUCCCUAGCUGGUCUGAGAGGAUGACCAGCCACACUGGAACUGAGACACGGUCCAGACUCCUACGGGAGGCAGCAGUGGGGAAUAUUGCACAAUGGGCGCAAGCCUGAUGCAGCCAUGCCGCGUGUAUGAAGAAGGCCUUCGGGUUGUAAAGUACUUUCAGCGGGGAGGAAGGUGUUGUGGUUAAUAACCACAGCAAUUGACGUUACCCGCAGAAGAAGCACCGGCUAACUCCGUGCCAGCAGCCGCGGUAAUACGGAGGGUGCAAGCGUUAAUCGGAAUUACUGGGCGUAAAGCGCACGCAGGCGGUCUGUCAAGUCGGAUGUGAAAUCCCCGGGCUCAACCUGGGAACUGCAUUCGAAACUGGCAGGCUUGAGUCUUGUAGAGGGGGGUAGAAUUCCAGGUGUAGCGGUGAAAUGCGUAGAGAUCUGGAGGAAUACCGGUGGCGAAGGCGGCCCCCUGGACAAAGACUGACGCUCAGGUGCGAAAGCGUGGGGAGCAAACAGGAUUAGAUACCCUGGUAGUCCACGCUGUAAACGAUGUCUACUUGGAGGUUGUGCCCUUGAGGCGUGGCUUCCGGAGCUAACGCGUUAAGUAGACCGCCUGGGGAGUACGGCCGCAAGGUUAAAACUCAAAUGAAUUGACGGGGGCCCGCACAAGCGGUGGAGCAUGUGGUUUAAUUCGAUGCAACGCGAAGAACCUUACCUGGUCUUGACAUCCACGGAAGUUUUCAGAGAUGAGAAUGUGCCUUCGGGAACCGUGAGACAGGUGCUGCAUGGCUGUCGUCAGCUCGUGUUGUGAAAUGUUGGGUUAAGUCCCGCAACGAGCGCAACCCUUAUCCUUUGUUGCCAGCGAUUAGGUCGGGAACUCAAAGGAGACUGCCAGUGAUAAACUGGAGGAAGGUGGGGAUGACGUCAAGUCAUCAUGGCCCUUACGACCAGGGCUACACACGUGCUACAAUGGCGCAUACAAAGAGAAGCGACCUCGCGAGAGCAAGCGGACCUCAUAAAGUGCGUCGUAGUCCGGAUUGGAGUCUGCAACUCGACUCCAUGAAGUCGGAAUCGCUAGUAAUCGUGGAUCAGAAUGCCACGGUGAAUACGUUCCCGGGCCUUGUACACACCGCCCGUCACACCAUGGGAGUGGGUUGCAAAAGAAGUAGGUAGCUUAACCUUCGGGAGGGCGCUUACCACUUUGUGAUUCAUGACUGGGGUGAAGUCGUAACAAGGUAACCGUAGGGGAACCUGCGGUUGGAUCACCUCCUUACCUUAAAGAA